GUAUUACAGGGUAAGUUUUUUUAAAUUUAAUAAUUGAAGUUAUUUUAAUUUGUGAAGAAACAAUUAUAUAAAUUAAAGACAAGAAGACCCUAAGAAUUUAAGAAUUUUUAUUAAUAUAUUAUAUGUAUAUAUAUAAAUAAAAUUCUUAGUUGGGGCAACUAAAAAAUAUAUUAAACUUUUUUUUUAAAAAAAUGACCCAUUAUUAAUGAUAAUAUGAAAAAAAUACUCUAGGG
This 233-nucleotide ribosomal RNA is filed under the name Dermacentor silvarum. RNAcentral's name for it is "partial large subunit ribosomal RNA". The record is from RNAcentral. Lineage: Eukaryota; Metazoa; Arthropoda; Arachnida; Ixodida; Ixodidae.